UGAAUUUCCCGAAACCCUAGAAAUCUAAUUUCGAUUUCAAUUCAGUCAAAUUCCUGCAGUUGAUUCGUUGAUGAUGGCCCACGGAAAAGUCAGUCUCACUCAAGAACUCCUCCCCUCGCCGAUCUUCUCCACCACCAAAGACUCGGAGAUGGCACUAAGGGAAGAGUUCGAGAUGAACGUCGCAGGAUCUUGAGAGGUGGAGCCUUCGAUCAGUCAGAUCCUUGGAAAGAUUGACAGGUUCACUGAGAUUGUGAGUGUUUUCGGUUCUUGUGGAUCCGCAAUUUUGAUUUGUUGAGUUCAUGUGAUGUUUAGAAGGCUGAAGAAAGGCUGAAGAAUCAGGUUGGUCGAUUCAUUUUAAGUCAUUUUUCAUUUUGAUUUUACAGUAUGUGCGUUUGAUAAUUAAAUAGAAAAGAAACGGGUACGACCUAUGGUGUGGUCACAAUUGUUGUCAAGCAAGAACAAUUGGCUUAAUUGAAUUGACGAAUUGAUUUUCUUGUAAGAUUAGCAAUUUGUUUGGAACACAGAUGUAUGGGCGUAAUGUUGAUUUUUCUGGGUGGGUGAAUUCGUAGUAGGAGGCGAAUAUGCCUUUCAUCUCCAUUUCAUGUUCAUCACAUCUUUGCACUGCUGGAUUCCUUUGGAAGAUUGUAUGUGUUCAAGUGUGGUACAGUGCCCUCUUUGGCCUCGAAUGCGAUUGCAGGAAAAAGCAAUGUUUGGUGCCUCUAUCCCAACAAAAAUGUUGUGUUACAGGAUGUCUUUGGCCAAUAAUCUUCAGCUGAUCUGGAAGCUAAAUUGACCAAGGUAUUAUUGUUUCAGUGCUAUGUUUAUGGGUGUUCUGUAUGAGGGGUAUUUGCUAAGUACAACUCUUGCUAGUCGUGUUUUUUUAAUGGCACAUAAAAAAAAAUUCUAAUAUCAAUGUGCUUCUUACAUGGUGAUCCCAUUACAUUUCCCGAAGAAGAGCCAUAACUAGCGCUAGCUUUCGAAAUAAAUAAGAGCGUAUCUAUUGGGUUUUUUUUUUUUUUGGUCACCAUUGAAAA
Molecule: long non-coding RNA, 1034 nt
Organism: Rosa rugosa (rugosa rose)
Lineage: Eukaryota; Viridiplantae; Streptophyta; Magnoliopsida; Rosales; Rosaceae
Exons: 3
Source: RefSeq, a predicted model, not a curated record